UACGUAGGGGGCGAGCGUUGUCCGGAAUCAUUGGGUGUAAAGCGCGUGUAGGCGGCCCGGUAAGUCCGCUGUGAAAGUCCAGGGCUCAACCCUGGGAUGCCGGUGGAUACUGUCGGGCUCGAGUCCGGAAGAGGCGAGUGGAAUCCUGGUGUAGCGGUGGAAUGCGCAGAUAUCAGGAGGAACACCGAUGGCGAAGGCAGAUCUCUGGGCCGUAACUGACGCUGAGGAGCGAAAGCAUGGGGAGCGAACAGG
This 252-nucleotide ribosomal RNA is filed under the name uncultured bacterium. Its description in RNAcentral is "partial 16S ribosomal RNA". It matches the Rfam family "Bacterial small subunit ribosomal RNA", at positions 524 to 776 of the family's 1533-position model. The record is from RNAcentral.